Molecule: ribosomal RNA, 253 nt
Filed under: uncultured bacterium
Lineage: Bacteria
Description: partial 16S ribosomal RNA
Rfam family: Bacterial small subunit ribosomal RNA
Source: RNAcentral
UACAGAGGUCUCAAGCGUUGUUCGGAUUCAUUGGGCGUAAAGGGUGUGUAGGUGGCGCCGUAAGUCGGGUGUGAAAUUUCGGAGCUCAACUCCGAAACUGCAUUCGAUACUGCGGUGCUUGAGGACUGGAGAGGAGACUGGAAUUCAUGGUGUAGCAGUGAAAUGCGUAGAGAUCAUGAGGAAGACCAGUGGCGAAGGCGGGUCUCUGGACAGUUCCUGACACUGAGGCACGAAGGCCAGGGGAGCAAACGGG